UACACACAUGAGAUCAAAUUUUAACUUUAGGUACCUAAGCUAACUUGGGUUCUUUGGGAUUAGUCACAAUGAUUCUUUUUGGAACUCAUAUUUUUUUAACCUUUCUACCAUUAAAUUUGUUUGAUGAACAUGUAUAUGCUUUAUGUCCUACCAUGCCACAUCUAAAACAAGUAAUAUUUGAUAAAUUUCUUGUGGAUUCAUUAACAAAAAUAUUUUUGAAGGACUUUUGUUUUCUUAGAGUAUUGUAGCCAAGUCCUGC
This 259-nucleotide long non-coding RNA is filed under the name Elaeis guineensis (African oil palm). RNAcentral describes it as "long non-coding RNA (EGUI_LNC031598)". Lineage: Eukaryota; Viridiplantae; Streptophyta; Magnoliopsida; Arecales; Arecaceae. The record is from RNAcentral.